Molecule: long non-coding RNA, 372 nt
Organism: Arachis stenosperma
Lineage: Eukaryota; Viridiplantae; Streptophyta; Magnoliopsida; Fabales; Fabaceae
Exons: 4
Source: RefSeq, a predicted model, not a curated record
AGUAGAGAGAGGGCAAGGAACAGAGGAAUAGCCAAAGAACCAGGGAGCAAAAACAGGAGUGUUCUUCAAGUUUUUGGCUCUUCAUCAACCAUAGCACCAAGAGAAAGAGAAUGAUGGCCAAGGAGGGAGCUGACUGAAGCUUAAGAGGGAGCUGCGUUCCACUCACCCAACUGUUCUUCGAGUUUCUUUGCUAGUUUAUUCAAUUUCUGUUAACACAACUACCACCACAAGCAAAGAGAGGUUUGGGCUCAAGAGAAAAACAGAGACAAGUCUUGUGUAUUUGAUCAACAAAGAGGCAAGGUUGGAGUUCCCCGGCAAUUGUUUGUAACAAAAAAUCCAUCUACUAUCCCUUAUGAAAUCACUAAGGCUGGG